Molecule: small nucleolar RNA, 145 nt
Organism: Myxocyprinus asiaticus (Chinese sucker)
Lineage: Eukaryota; Metazoa; Chordata; Actinopteri; Cypriniformes; Catostomidae
Source: RefSeq, a predicted model, not a curated record
CUUCAGUGAUGAUACGAUGACGAGUCGGAUCGGGGCCCAGCUCUGAGGACUCUGGGUCAGGGUCACGUUCUGUGCCACUGGUUUCAGUACCUCAGAGCCGUGUGUUCUCUUAGAUUGAAGAUGUAGAGGCAUUUGUCUGAGAAGG